RNAcentral lists this transfer RNA (72 nucleotides) under Camelus bactrianus (Bactrian camel). It matches the Rfam family "tRNA". Rfam says of the family: Transfer RNA (tRNA) molecules are approximately 80 nucleotides in length. The record is from Rfam by way of RNAcentral. RNAcentral also lists the same sequence under 2 other names. Lineage: Eukaryota; Metazoa; Chordata; Mammalia; Artiodactyla; Camelidae.
GCAGUAAUAGCUCAGUGGCAGAAUGCAUACUUAGCACGCAUGAGGUCCUGGGUUCAAUCCCCAGUAUCUUCA